UUUAACAUUUCAUUGGUUCAAUUUGUUCAGACAGAUUCUACAGUAAACUCGGAGGCUAUUUUUACCCUCCCGCCGGGCGCAUACCCGGCGGAAGCAACAGGAGAUCGUACGCAGGGUGGGUAUAUAUAUACAGCACACGCAGCAAGCAUGACUGGAUUACAUGAUAAUGAUCCUUCCGCAGGUUCACCUACGGAAA
This 196-nucleotide unclassified non-coding RNA is filed under the name uncultured fungus. Its description in RNAcentral is "sequence contains ITS1". The record is from RNAcentral. Lineage: Eukaryota; Fungi.